RNAcentral lists this ribosomal RNA (243 nucleotides) under uncultured bacterium. RNAcentral's name for it is "partial 16S ribosomal RNA". It matches the Rfam family "Bacterial small subunit ribosomal RNA", at positions 91 to 334 of the family's 1533-position model. The record is from RNAcentral.
CUUAGCGGCGGACGGGUGAGUAACGCGUGGGUAACCUGCCUUACACUGGGGGAUAACAGUUAGAAAUGACUGCUAAUACCGCAUAAGCGCACAGGGCCGCAUGGUCUGGUGUGAAAAACUCCGGUGAUGUAAGAUGGACCCGCGUCUGAUUAGGUAGUUGGUGGGGUAACGGCCCACCAAGCCGACGAUCAGUAGCCGACCUGAGAGGGUGACCGGCCACAUUGGGACUGAGACACGGCCCAA